CGGAGCGUGGCGCAGCCUGGUAGCGCACUUGCAUGGGGUGCAAGGGGCCGCAAGUUCGAAUCUUGUCGCUCCGA
RNAcentral lists this transfer RNA (74 nucleotides) under Betaproteobacteria bacterium UKL13-2. It matches the Rfam family "tRNA". From Rfam's summary of the family: Transfer RNA (tRNA) molecules are approximately 80 nucleotides in length. Their secondary structure includes four short double-helical elements and three loops (D, anti-codon, and T loops). The record is from Rfam by way of RNAcentral. Lineage: Bacteria; Pseudomonadati; Pseudomonadota; Betaproteobacteria.